UACGUAGGGGUCGAGCGUUGUCCGGACUUACUGGGCGUAAAGGGUGGGUAGGUGGUUUGGGAUGUGCCGUGUGAAAGCCCCGCGUUCAUCGCGGGGAGGUCGCGGUAGACACUCGAACUUGAGGCAUGGAGAGGGCGGUGGAAUUCCCGGUGUAGUGGUGAAAUGCGUAGAUAUCGGGAGGAACACCAGUGGCGCAAGCGGCCGCCUGGCCAUGACCUGACACUGAGCCACGACGGCGUGGGGAGCAAACGGG
This 253-nucleotide ribosomal RNA is filed under the name uncultured Herpetosiphon sp. RNAcentral's name for it is "partial 16S ribosomal RNA". It matches the Rfam family "Bacterial small subunit ribosomal RNA", at positions 524 to 776 of the family's 1533-position model. The record is from RNAcentral. Lineage: Bacteria; Bacillati; Chloroflexota; Chloroflexia; Herpetosiphonales; Herpetosiphonaceae.